Engraulis encrasicolus (European anchovy) is the source of this 869-nucleotide long non-coding RNA. RefSeq lists it as uncharacterized. The transcript has 3 exons. Lineage: Eukaryota; Metazoa; Chordata; Actinopteri; Clupeiformes; Engraulidae. The record is from RefSeq and is a predicted model, not a curated record.
UGCCUAACUGUCCGGUCCGUGACAGAGGGAUCUUGUUAUCUGUGGCUGGAUAGCAUUUGGACAUGACGAAUGUACAUGCUAUGCCAAAGACCAGCCUAUGAUCACAGGUGAUGCAGUGAUUGGUGAUGGCUAUGGUUUUCUUCCCACUGAACUAAACAUGCUAAAACGGAAAAGAAGACAAGAGGACGUGUCAUCCAUGGCAGUGUGUCAUUCUCCCGCUGAUGGUCCACUUUGCAGAGAAAUAUGAGGGGCUCAUUGUACUGGUUAAUGUCUUCCCAGUGGUGAUGUAGAGCUGAUGUGGAGGCAACAGUGCUGCUUCCUUCGUCCUUCCUUUCUUCAAGACCUGCGUUUUUUGUCUUUUGCCAAACUUUAGGCAGUAUCUUAUACAGUAGAAACUAAGCCUAACACUUGAAGCCCCGUAGGCGUUGCUUGACUGACACCAAUCUGACGAGCUUGCUCAGCCGGUGGAAUCUCUUGUAUACAUGAAUAAGCAAACUGGACGUGUUCUUUCUGAACAAUAUUAAUUGUGGCUCACCACAAUGUUGGUGCAUACAGUAGUAGUACGCCAAGUCAGCAUUGUAUGCAAUAGUCAUUAACAGGAAUGAAACACGACAGAAGUUUAUCAUGCACACACCGAGCGUAGCGUUCAAAACUGUUUGUGUUCCCCUCCGCCAGGCAACACCUGUCAUCUGAGCAAAGGUUCUCCCACGUGUAACCCCCAAUUGCGUUGCAGUGCCAUUGUACAAUUACAGCAUCACAUUAUGUCUAACAGUCUUAUUGCUUUAGUACUUUUUUAUUAGAGGUGAUGUAACCCUUUCAUGGGGAAGGCAGUAGAAAAAGUAUUCAUCUAAAUUAUGUUUAUUCAUCAA